Long non-coding RNA from Sphaerodactylus townsendi, 5872 nucleotides. RefSeq lists it as uncharacterized. The transcript is spliced from 2 exons. The record is from RefSeq and is a predicted model, not a curated record. NCBI's taxonomy places the organism in Eukaryota, Metazoa, Chordata, Lepidosauria, Squamata, Sphaerodactylidae.
AGAUCUGCGUACUGGGACGCGGGGAGCCUUCUCGGGGCCGGCGGGAGGCUGCAGGGGAGGUCCAGCCCCUCUUCUGGGCAGGGCUUCGGCGCCGACGGGGCUGUCAGGGCCAGAGCCCAGAGCCGGUCUGACGCUGGCUGGGCUGGCAGCAGAGGACAAGCCGGCGGCUUCCGCCCGGGAGAAGACGGGAACUAGGGCCACCGAGGGCUUUCCGACGCUUUGGUCUCCACGGAGGGGACACUGCGGGAGGAGCGGGGCUCCGCUUCCGGCCGGGGCUCGGACUUGCUGCCGGGCUGCUUUCAAGGACACGGGGAGAUGAGCAGGACUUUGGGAGCCAACAUCUGCCUUGCUGGUGACGUCAGCACCCUGUGUAAUCCUCUUGUACUGGAGGCAGAUGCCUUAUUUGUUUGGCUGGAGAAGCAUUAAUCCCUAAUUCUGGAGCAGCCAGCGAGGGGCGCGCACACGUAGACCGGACUGCUCCGGACCUUCCCCCGAAGAGCCCGCGGGCCUGCUUCCCAUCACCCGGAGACGCGGGGCUCGCCGAAGGACGACCGGCCAGGCCUCCCGGAGCAGAGCUGCUCAUCGCUUCCUCCCAGAAACCGGGGAUUGGGUGUCUCCCCACUGGAGUCUUUGGAAAGUCACACUCUUCGACCCACCCAUUUCCGUUGAGAUCAGAAUGGAGCAUCACAGCAGCUGACAAAUCUGCAUUCAGUCGAAACUUCAGAGCCGCCGGCAGAGGUCAGCUCGCCAAGGUUUGAGGCCGGUUUCUUUGGCCACUGAUGGCGCUCGAUCCCAGAGCAUCCCAGCACAGAUGUCCUCUGGGCCAUCAGAACCACACCGGAUUGGACGUCUGUUUAAACGCUGCCAAGUUUAACCAUAGCGGUGUGUGUGUUGUUGCAUUGUCUCGUCCUUCCUUCUCCUCUUCCUCAUCCUUCUCCUCCUCCUCCUCCUGGCGGCACAGUCAUUGUAGCCAGGCCAGAUGGGCUGUCCAAACUCUCCCGGGAACAGGCAGGUGCUAUUGAGUAAAUGUUUUCCGCUUUACAAAGCAAGUCGACACGCAUUCUGCCCCGUUCAUUUGUGCAGAGAUCUCUCCAUCCGAGAAAGAAAUAUAUUAUCAAGCACUUCCUUAAGCAGCAAGAGUUGAGGAGGCUUAAGACCUCGUUUCUUGCUGCACGGGAAUGACAAAGGGCAGCUCUUAUGACUGGGGUAGGCAAAAUCCGACAGUCUUCAGGAGGGAUCAGGGCCAGUCCCUGUCAUCCUGUGGUCUUAAGUAACGAGCAAAAGAGCUGGCCACAUUAGAGCAGCUUAAGGAGAUGGCCGUAAAGACGCACAUGCUUGCUUGAAACAGACUUCUGCCCGGUGGAACUGGCAGAUGGGCUAGGAGGAAACGGCCUCGAAUUCAAAGCCAGGCCUGGAGGAUGAAUAGAGGGAGAAAGAGAGGGAGGGGGUCGCUUCCCUUUUUAAAAAGGUCACUUGUUAUUUUAUUUGCAGAAGGAGAGCAAGAAAGAGAACUCAGGCUCUGCCUCUCCGUGUUCACAGCGGACCUUGAUUUAAUGUCAUACAAUUAAGGCACGCGGUGAAUGCCAAGAGCGGAGGCUUGAAGACAUCCUCUACGAAGAAAAUCAUACUCCACAGAAAGAUUUAACCCCCACCCACCCACCCACCCACCCACAACAAGGCGACCCGAAUGCAAAUUGUCGUGCACCUGUCUAAAGCAAUGUAGAUUCAAUGGGAAGGUGUUGCCUUCUCUCUAAACGUAUUUGUGCGGUCUAAGGUGCCCUAAGUCCACUAGCACCAGUUUCCUAAGCAUUACCGUCCAUGGCGGAAUAUCUUUCCAGAGACAGGUAGGUUCACUUUUUUCGAUUUUUUUUUAAAAAAACUAAACCAUGUAUCAACGAUGGAAGGGAAAUAAAUACAUUUGAUAAUAUUACGGCAUCGCUACGUUUGUUGAUUGUGUGUCCACCUCCUCCAAACUGCGCCAGCCAAUUAGCCUAUAAGAAGGUAUUGUCUGAAGACACGUAGGCUCCUCCACAUUGCCCUCCGCCGGAUUGUUGAACUGGAAUCAAGCAGGACAAUGCAUAGCAAUUAGGGUGUGUGCGACGGAGAGUUAAGAGAUCGUGGCUUGUGUUACUUGGAAAUGGAGCAAAAUAUUGGCAGGGUGUUCAGAGGAGAUGGCGCAGCCAUUAGGACGGAAGGAGUCCCGCAGUGUACCUUUUUAUGGCUUUCUUUGUUUCGCCUGAGCGCGAAGGUCGUGGGUAAACAAAGGGAAGGAAACCAUCGCUUGCCUCCACGCAGAAAUUGAGCAAACCUGUGCGCUGUCCACGGUCCUGAAGUCAAUUUCCUAGCAAAGCUGACUAGAUAAUACAGUUGAUAAGGAAAACCGGGCAAAAAGCACGCUGCGCCAUGUUCAUACGCUGGACAGCACCAAUCCGUUUCACGAUUACAUUUUCUCUAAAGCGACCCAUAGGUUGAGAUCGAAACCCUACUGGAGUGAAGGGCACAGAGGUUAUGGAAUGUUGGGGUGUGGAUUUCAAGCGUCUUUUGCGUCAUUUCCUCCUCGCUCAUUUUGAAUAUUCUAGACAUUUAUGACACAUUUGCAGUUUAUUUAAACAACAGCGUUGAGUGUGUUGAGGCCCAGAAAGAUUUUUGGAACCUGACAAUCUGCCGCUAAUGUUGCUGUAAAAUUAUUAUAAUUUAGAGAGAAACACCUUCAUCAAGUUGGUAGAGGGAUGCAAAAGACCAGUAGAGAGAUGUAAAACCCACAGUGCAGCAGUUUGCUUUCAGAUGCGCCCCAACAUAAAUGGAAAAGAGAUGAUCGUUUAUCCCGGGCCUAUGUCACCACGCAGUAACCACUCCUCCUGCCAAGUAACGAAAGGACUCUUACCACUUUUCAUACAUUUCUCACAAGGUGUAGCAAAAUUUUCUCCACUACUUGGCUCAGCAAUACAGACGACCAUUUUAUCUCGGUAAAUUACUACAUAGUCGUCUUGUAUUCACCCUUUAUCACCCCCCCCCCCUUUUAAACUUAGAAUCAAUAAUGUAGCUUCAGGCGCAAUGCUUCAGUUUCCGACCUACUGUCGGAGGUGGGGGUGGGCACGGAGACAUUGCAACUCCAACGACAUAACUAUCAGGUAAUGGUAGGCCAGGUGCCUCUAGGACACUGCUCUUUAAUCUGGAUUAAAAUGCUGCAAAGCGGAUUAGCCCCUACUAUCUGAACCGGAACACUGCAAAUUCCUGGUUCUGCAAGCACAGCUGGGGGCUAGUUUGGUGUAGAGAAAGAGAGAAAAUGCAUUAAAGAGAAAUGGGGCCUAUCUCACAACCCCAGCCCAGAGUUCCUUCUUGCUCCUAUUUAAUAUACCUUCUGCCAGCCUUCUCACACUGCAGCCAACUAGUACAUGAUUCGAGUCACCAAUACUCCGCACGCUUUGCUUGGAAAGUAAACCAGAUAAUUUUAUUCUUUUCUAGGUGCUUCUCCGUUAAAGAAUUUCCAGUACGAAAUCUCAGGAACGUCAGCUGGUCACGAUCAACUGUGUGGAGGACAGCCUAAUUUAGGUUGUCUGUAAUCCAUUUUUGCCAGAGCAGGUCCGCUGACGUCUCUAAACAACUGUGGAUUAAAGAGGUCGUGAAUGAAAAAAGCAAAGCGCGCCAUCUUAAACGAUUUAGCCCCGGUGUUCGAAAGUCACGCUGUUUACAGCAACGUAUCUAAAGCAAUUCACCUAACGCACUAGGAGGGCAGACUGCACCGGUCAUAUUUUUACACCUCACCCUAAUAAUUCCCUGCUGUCCCCUUAGCCUGAUUUUGUAAACAAAUCCUUUCUGGCUCACAAUACCCUAACUGCUGCAUUGGAAACUGCAUCCUUUGUACUCAUUUAAUCAAAAGCGUGGAAAUAUUGGGAAAGUAUUUCAGCUUCGUUAAAGGUGAACCUGAAUGCGUUUUCCCGUUUCCAGACCGUAAACUACAAGGUUCCGGUUCUGAACAUCAAAGGGUUUUUUAAUAAAAUGAGUGUACUACUAAGAAGUAAACGUCCAAGGUUACAAUUAACCAAACGGGCGCAGGGAAGAAAUACAUAUUGUUGAGUGGGCGAGAAAGAAAUGCCAUCCACAGUGAUAUAACGUCCAUAGUAGAGAGCAUAGAAUUAAAGCGUCCCAAUAAUAACCAAGACAGGGACAAGAAAGACUUCAGGCAUUCGGCUUCUCUUUCGAAUCACAUGAAAGCCUUUGAAGUGUGAUAAUGCGCUAUGACGUUAAUGUGAAGAAUUUAGGCGCAGGGGUGCUACGUGCAACGUGUGAGUAGUCAUGUGAUGUCAGUUGGAAUCAAUUUGCUGUUUCGUUCCGACUGGAUUGUAUUGUUUUAAUUAGAGGAGCUACAAAAGGCGUGGGGAAAGUUAAUCGCUGUCACUUCCUGAUCAUUACUAGGAAAGAGAAUCCUAGAGCUUCCCUGUUAAUCUGAGAGAAAUGCUUUCUGCUGUGGAUCUGGACCAGAGAUGGAGGAAAACACACCCAGUAAUUCCAUUCACACCGGGUCUGAAAUAAUUAGGAUUCCAUUGUUUUGCCAUUGUCAAGUUUAACAUUCAGCACCUUUCUUCUAGCUUUGAACGCGGAGUCAAAUCCUGUUCUCAGUUAUUUUUCCCCAGUGCGGUGUAACCUUCUAUCCCAUCUCAAUCAAGACACCCCACUGGGAGGCGAGUAGGGAGGUUUGCCUUGGAGGCCCCCUCUACAGUCAGAAGCGCUCCGAUUAUGCCUUUCUUAAUCAGAAGGAAAGCCUGCCGGAAUUGUUGGGAAGACAGUUUUGCCCUUGAGCUGCUAGAACGAAGCGAUGCUGCUGCAACCGAGGGGGGAAGGGAGGGAGGGGAGCGAGUCUUGCUUUGCAUUUUGCUAUGCUCUUCUGGAAAAGAACUAAUUCGGGUCUCUAGCGUGUAGGCGGCUGGUUAAUUAGAGGAUGGCGCACUCUGCUGCCCAGAAGAGGCAAGGACAUCACUGAAAACAUGCGCUAACUGGCAACCAGGGGGAACAUAGCUACUAAUAAUCGCAAGUCAGGAAAAGUGCCAAGGAAAGAAACUGAGCAUUGAAUUCAGUUGUGCGCUAUUAUAGAGUGCCCGCAGAGAUCCAAGCCCCGGCGUUUAUUCUUUCAAUUGAUGCCGCGCCAACAGAAUGCGAUUGUGACGUCAUAAAACAUUGCCGCAUUCUGGAAUGUUGGGGACAGCAAUGGUGCUGCUGCAGAACGUUCCUUGGGCAGCUAAUUUAGCAAGUCGACAUUUCAGAGGAAGAGUCGGUGAGAACGUGGGUCGGCAAUCAAGAAAGAGGAAUCAGAGUAGGAGAAAAUGCUGUGGCUAAUCGGCUGUAUUUUCCCUUUGUUUACCCAUUGCAGUUCGGGUUUUAUUCUUUUAUUUUAUUACAAAAAAAAUGCAUUGGCUCUGAGAAAGAGUUGAAGAGACAUCAGAACUGAAAUGGGUAGAAGGUUUGGCACCUACUUUGUCCACCUUUCUCCCAUUAUUUAAUAUAUAAUACAAUGUCAGAUGUAUGCCUAAUAUGCAGCUGGACUAUCAGUCUUUCAAGUACAUUCUGGUCUCUUGUAACUGGCAACAGCUGUGUAUCAUCUCGUGCUUCCUGAGCCUGUUAACUGGAGAGGCUGCGAACUGAACUGAAGAUCUUCUGCAAAGAAAGCAGGGCCGUGGGUCACAUCCCACAGAGACAAUGAACACAUACAGGAAACUCACGGCUGAAGCAUAAUGAAAAUCUAACAUUCUGAACCUAAAAGACAUUAUGGGGAUGCAAGUCUCACCUACUUAAGUGAACUUUAUUGUCUGAGAAUACUGAGGAUAAAAUCCUGAUUUUUUGAAACCUUAUAAACUAAAUAAAUCUAUUUAAGUAC